RNAcentral lists this ribosomal RNA (442 nucleotides) under uncultured bacterium. Its description in RNAcentral is "partial 16S ribosomal RNA". It matches the Rfam family "Bacterial small subunit ribosomal RNA", at positions 338 to 795 of the family's 1533-position model. The record is from RNAcentral.
CCUACGGGAGACAGCAGUGGGGAAUAUUGGGCAAUGGGCGCAAGCCUGACCCAGCAAUGCCGCGUGAAGGAAGAAGGCUUUCGGGUUGUAAACUUCUUUGACAGGGGAAGAGCAGAAGACGGUACCCUGAAAACAAGCCACGGCUAACUACGUGCCAGCAGCCGCGGUAAUACGUAGGGGGCAAGCGUUGUCCGGAUUUACUGGGUGUAAAGGGCGUGUAGCCGGGAAGGCAAGUCAGAUGUGAAAUCUGGAGGCUCAACCUCCAAAUUGCAUUUGAAACUGUUUUUCUUGAGUACUGGAGAGGCAGACGGAAUUCCUUGUGUAGCGGUGAAAUGCGUAGAUAUAAGGAGGAACACCAGUGGCGAAGGCGGUCUGCUGGACAGCAACUGACGGUGAGGCGCGAAAGCGUGGGGAGCAAACAGGAUUAGAUACCCCGGUAGUC